Molecule: non-coding RNA, 107 nt
Organism: Gossypium raimondii (Peruvian cotton)
Lineage: Eukaryota; Viridiplantae; Streptophyta; Magnoliopsida; Malvales; Malvaceae
Source: Rfam
AAUCCAUGCAUCGGACAUUUCUUAAUUAACUCCUUAAAUCGCUCCCACGCUUCAUAUAGUGUUUCAUCUUCAAACUGCCGAAAGGAUGUAAUAUCAUUUCUCAACUU